Canis lupus familiaris (dog) is the source of this 712-nucleotide long non-coding RNA. RefSeq lists it as uncharacterized. NCBI's taxonomy places the organism in Eukaryota, Metazoa, Chordata, Mammalia, Carnivora, Canidae. The transcript is spliced from 4 exons. The record is from RefSeq and is a predicted model, not a curated record.
AUGACUUGUGUCAGUGGCAUGAUUACUGAGGUGGUAGAAGAAGGUGAGCCAAGUCUAUAAAAUUAUAAGAAAGAUGUGCUCAGUGGAGCAUGACACAAAAUAAAAAAGACACCCUGCAGUGCCUGAGACAGCCACAGUAAAGCUGCUAAUCUUUAAACCUGCACUGACAGUCCCCACCAUGGAUGUCAAAGGACUCUAAAGGCUUGUCCUGCUUCCCUGAGGUUUAUCUGAAUUUAACUUGAAACAGAUGGACAGCUUAAGCUUUGAGAUCAUUAAGGGUCUUUUAAGAUGAGAGACAUUUUUGCACUCCCUGGUACAACAUUUAUUGAGCAUCUACUAAUGUGCUGGAUCAUGAGGAUGAAUAGCAUUGUCUCUCCUGUCUCAGCCAGGUCUUUCAAUUCAUGGGAAGGAAAGAGUAAAUACCCAAUUCAGACAUGGUGCUGCACCAGCCACAUGGUCCAAGCAGAUUCAAGGGUCUUAGUAGAUGCUGGAAAUUGCUGUCACUGGGACAGAGCAGAAUGGAUGGAACCCAGGACAUCAACUGCAUUCCUUCUUGCCAUGGCACUCAUGAAGGUGUCGCACAGAGAUAUUAGGAGCACAUGUUGAACACAACAGAGCUACUAUGUGGAUGGAACCUGGGUCCCUGCAUCUCUGCAUGGAAGACUAUGUCAAACAUUCACAUAGAGCUUUGUACAUGUGAGAAUAAACCUUA